CUCUUGAAAUAUCUCAAGUAACCUCUGCCCUAUGAAUAGUUUAAAUGGCCGCAGUACUUUGACUGUGCAAAGGUAGCAUAAUCACUUGUCUCUUAAUUGGGGGCUGGAAUGAAGGAGGCGACGAAAUUUGUGCUAUUUAGUUAUAAAACAAAAUUAACAUAAAGGUCAAAAGGCUUUUAUACACCAAAGGGACGAUAAGACCCUAUAAAACUUUACUAUAUAGCAGGUUGUUUAGGUAAAAUUUAAAUUAUAGUUUAACUGGGGCGGUUUAUAUAAAAACAAUAGUAAUGUCAAUAUUUUAAAUAAACUUAGAGAGCUUUAAUAAGAAAUGAACAAGUUACUUUAGGGAUAACAGCAUAAUUCUCCCAGAGAGUCCUAAUUGGCGGGAGAGCUUAUGACCUCGAUGUUGAAUUGGGGUGUCUAG
RNAcentral lists this ribosomal RNA (424 nucleotides) under Proasellus solanasi. Its description in RNAcentral is "partial 16S ribosomal RNA". It matches the Rfam family "Bacterial large subunit ribosomal RNA", at positions 1835 to 2549 of the family's 2925-position model. The record is from RNAcentral. Lineage: Eukaryota; Metazoa; Arthropoda; Malacostraca; Isopoda; Asellidae.